This 64-nucleotide transfer RNA is filed under the name Cavia porcellus (domestic guinea pig). It matches the Rfam family "tRNA", at positions 1 to 62 of the family's 71-position model. From Rfam's summary of the family: Transfer RNA (tRNA) molecules are approximately 80 nucleotides in length. Their secondary structure includes four short double-helical elements and three loops (D, anti-codon, and T loops). Lineage: Eukaryota; Metazoa; Chordata; Mammalia; Rodentia; Caviidae. The record is from Rfam by way of RNAcentral.
GGGGAUUUAGCUCAGCAGUAUAAGUGCCUGCCUGGCAAGCAGGAGAUUGUGAGUUUGAUCCCCA